GAUGAACGCUGGCGGCGUGCCUAAUACAUGCAAGUCGAGCGAACGGACGAGAAGCUUGCUUCUCUGAUGUUAGCGGCGGACGGGUGAGUAACACGUGGAUAACCUACCUAUAAGACUGGGAUAACUUCGGGAAACCGUAGCUAAUACCGGAUAAUAUUUUGAACCGCAUGGUUCAAAAGUGAAAGACGGUCUUGCUGUCACUUAUAGAUGGAUCCGCUCUGCAUUAGCUAGUUGGUAAGGUAACGGCUUACCAAGGCAACGAUGCAUAGCCGACCUGAGAGGGUGAUAGGCCACACUGGAGGUGGGCCACGGUCCAGACUACUACGGGAGGCAGCAGUCGGGAAUCGUCGGCAGUGGGCGAGAGCCUGGCGGAGCAACGCCGCGUGAGUGAUGACGGUCUUCGGAUCGUAAAACUCUGUUAUGAGGGAUGAACAGCUGUGUAAGUAACCGUGCACAGCUUGACGGUACCUAAUAAGAAAGCACCGGCUAACUACGUG
This 497-nucleotide ribosomal RNA is filed under the name uncultured bacterium. RNAcentral's name for it is "partial 16S ribosomal RNA". It matches the Rfam family "Bacterial small subunit ribosomal RNA", at positions 28 to 507 of the family's 1533-position model. The record is from RNAcentral.